This 253-nucleotide ribosomal RNA is filed under the name uncultured bacterium. RNAcentral describes it as "partial 16S ribosomal RNA". It matches the Rfam family "Bacterial small subunit ribosomal RNA", at positions 524 to 776 of the family's 1533-position model. The record is from RNAcentral.
UACGUAGGGGGCAAGCGUUGUUCGGAAUUACUGGGCGUAAAGGGUUUGUAGGUGGCCUGCUAAGUCAGACGUGAAAUCCCUCAGCUUAACUGGGGAACUGCGUCUGAUACUGGCGGGCUUGAGGACAGGAGAGGAACGCGGAAUUCCAGGUGUAGCGGUGAAAUGCGUAGAUAUCUGGAGGAACACCGGUGGCGAAGGCGGCGUUCUGGACUGUUUCUGACACUGAAAAACGAAAGCCAGGGGAGCAAACGGG